Molecule: ribosomal RNA, 486 nt
Filed under: uncultured bacterium
Lineage: Bacteria
Description: partial 16S ribosomal RNA
Rfam family: Bacterial small subunit ribosomal RNA
Source: RNAcentral
GACGAACGCUGGCGGCGUGCUUAACACAUGCAAGUCGAACGGACUAUAGCAAUAUAGUUAGUGGCGAACGGGUGAGUAACACGUGACUAAUCUGCCCUAAACUGGGGGAUAACGUCGGGAAACUGACGCUAAUACCGCAUAUUGAGACGGGUUCACAUGGAUCUGUCUUGAAAGCUCCGGCGGUUUAGGAUGAGGUCGCGUCCCAUUAGCUUGUUGGCGGGGUAAUGGCCCACCAAGGCAACGAUGGGUAGCUGGUCUGAGAGGAUGAUCAGCCACACUGGGACUGAGAUACGGCCCAGACUCCUAUGGGAGGCAGCAGUGAGGAAUAUUGCGCAAUGGGCGAAAGCCUGACGCAGCAACGCCGCGUGAGGGAUGAAGGAGCUUUGCUUUGUAAACCUCUGUAGGGAGGGACGAACAACCGGUCGCCGGUUAUGACGGUACCUCCAAAGUAAGCACCGGCUAACUCCGUGCCAGCCGCCGCGGUAA